This 484-nucleotide ribosomal RNA is filed under the name uncultured bacterium. RNAcentral's name for it is "partial 16S ribosomal RNA". It matches the Rfam family "Bacterial small subunit ribosomal RNA", at positions 30 to 507 of the family's 1533-position model. The record is from RNAcentral.
AUUGAACGCUGGCGGCAGGCCUAACACAUGCAAGUCGAGCGGAUGAAGGGAGCUUGCUCCUGGAUUCAGCGGCGGACGGGUGAGUAAUGCCUAGGAAUCUGCCUGGUAGUGGGGGAUAACGUCCGGACACGGGCGCUAAUACCGCAUACGUCCUGAGGGAGAAAGUGGGGGAUCUUCGGACCUCACGCUAUCAGAUGAGCCUAGGUCGGAUUAGCUAGUUGGUGGGGUAAAGGCCUACCAAGGCGACGAUCCGUAACUGGUCUGAGAGGAUGAUCAGUCACACUGGAACUGAGACACGGUCCAGACUCCUACGGGAGGCAGCAGUAGGGAAUAUUGGACAAUGGGCGAAAGCCUGAUCCAGCCAUGCCGCGUGUGUGAAGAAGGUCUUCGGAUUGUAAAGCUCUUUAAGUUGGGAAGAAGAGCAGUAAGUUAAUACCUUGCUGUUUUGACGUUACCAACAGAAUAAGCAACGGCUAACUUCGUG